This 48-nucleotide non-coding RNA is filed under the name Schistosoma haematobium. The record is from RNAcentral. Lineage: Eukaryota; Metazoa; Platyhelminthes; Trematoda; Strigeidida; Schistosomatidae.
AUCCGAAUGACGAGUCCCAAAUAAGACGAAAUGCACAUCAAAUUGGAU